RNAcentral lists this ribosomal RNA (468 nucleotides) under uncultured bacterium. RNAcentral describes it as "bacterial SSU rRNA". It matches the Rfam family "Bacterial small subunit ribosomal RNA", at positions 329 to 794 of the family's 1533-position model. The record is from RNAcentral.
UACCAGACUCCUACGGGAGGCAGCAGUGAGGAAUAUUGGUCAAUGGCCGAGAGGCUGAACCAGCCAAGUCGCGUGAGGGAAGACGGCCCUACGGGUUGUAAACCUCUUUUGUCGGGGAGCAAAGCGAACCACGUGUGGUUCAUUGAGAGUGCCCGAAGAAAAAGCAUCGGCUAACUCCGUGCCAGCAGCCGCGGUAAUACGGAGGAUGCGAGCGUUAUCCGGAUUUAUUGGGUUUAAAGGGUGCGCAGGCGGUCUGUUAAGUCAGCGGUCAAAGCCCGGGGCUCAACCCCGGCCCACCGUUGAAACUGGCAGUCUCGAGUUGGAGAGAAGUAUGCGGAAUGCGCGGUGUAGCGGUGAAAUGCAUAGAUAUCACGCAGAACUCCGAUUGCGAAGGCAGCAUACCGGCGCGCAACUGACGCUCAUGCACGAAAGCGUGGGUAUCGAACAGGAUUAGAUACCCGUGUAAAA